GUGACUGCGUACCUUUUGUAUAAUGGGUCAGCGACUUAUAUUCUGUAGCAAGGUUAACCGAAUAGGGGAGCCGGAGGGAAACCGAGUCUUAAUUGGGCGUUAAGUUGCAGGGUAUAGACCCGAAACCCGGUGAUCUAGCCAUGGGCAGGUUGAAGGUUGGGUAACACUAACUGGAGGACCGAACCGACUAAUGUUGAAAAAUUAGCGGAUGACCUGUGGCUGGGGGUGAAAGGCCAAUCAAACCGGGAGAUAGCUGGUUCUCCCCGAAAGCUAUUUAGGUAGCGCCUCGUGAAUUCAUCUCCGGGGGUAGAGCACUGUUUCGGCUAGGGGGCCAUCCCGGCUUACCAACCCGAUGCAAACUGCGAAUACCGGAGAAUGUUAUCACGGGAGACACACGGCGGGUGCUAACGUCCGUCGUGAAGAGGGAAACAACCCAGACCGCCAGCUAAGGUCCCAAAGUCAUGGUUAAGUGGGAAACGAUGUGGGAAGGCCCAGACAGCCAGGAUGUUGGCUUAGAAGCAGCCAUCAUUUAAAGAAAGCGUAAUAGCUCACUGGUCGAGUCGGCCUGCGCGGAAGAUGUAACGGGGCUAAACCAUGCACCGAAGCUGCGGCAGCUA
This 617-nucleotide ribosomal RNA is filed under the name Salmonella enterica subsp. enterica serovar Infantis. RNAcentral's name for it is "partial 23S ribosomal RNA". It matches the Rfam family "Bacterial large subunit ribosomal RNA", at positions 593 to 1211 of the family's 2925-position model. The record is from RNAcentral. Lineage: Bacteria; Pseudomonadati; Pseudomonadota; Gammaproteobacteria; Enterobacterales; Enterobacteriaceae.